AAAUUGAAGAGUUUGAUCAUGGCUCAGAUUGAACGCUGGCGGCAGGCCUAACACAUGCAAGUCGAACGGUAACAGGAAGAAGCUUGCUUCUUUGCUGACGAGUGGCGGACGGGUGAGUAAUGUCUGGGAAACUGCCUGAUGGAGGGGGAUAACUACUGGAAACGGUAGCUAAUACCGCAUAACGUCGCAAGACCAAAGAGGGGGACCUUCGGGCCUCUUGCCAUCGGAUGUGCCCAGAUGGGAUUAGCUAGUAGGUGGGGUAACGGCUCACCUAGGCGACGAUCCCUAGCUGGUCUGAGAGGAUGACCAGCCACACUGGAACUGAGACACGGUCCAGACUCCUACGGGAGGCAGCAGUGGGGAAUAUUGCACAAUGGGCGCAAGCCUGAUGCAGCCAUGCCGCGUGUAUGAAGAAGGCCUUCGGGUUGUAAAGUACUUUCAGCGGGGAGGAAGGGAGUAAAGUUAAUACCUUUGCUCAUUGACGUUACCCGCAGAAGAAGCACCGGCUAACUCCGUGCCAGCAGCCGCGGUAAUACGGAGGGUGCAAGCGUUAAUCGGAAUUACUGGGCGUAAAGCGCACGCAGGCGGUUUG
Molecule: ribosomal RNA, 592 nt
Filed under: Escherichia coli
Lineage: Bacteria; Pseudomonadati; Pseudomonadota; Gammaproteobacteria; Enterobacterales; Enterobacteriaceae
Description: bacterial SSU rRNA
Rfam family: Bacterial small subunit ribosomal RNA
Source: RNAcentral